CCCCAACCCUGGAGGUGUGAGGCGAACGUGCUAACCGCUAAGCCAAGGUUUAUUAAUGAGGUGAAAUAACAAACAUUACUAUUCCCCCUCUUAAACUCCCAUAUUUUCUGUUUUUUUCUUAUGACCUGGAACUUAAAAGGACUUAAGUAGGAUUAUGUCAUAAUUCUACACAAAAUAAACCAUUCUACUGAAGUGUGUACAUGGUUGUUUGCAUGUGUGAGAGAGGGGGUCCAAUGGAGCACAAUUAAAACUAUUAUUUGAAGAAAUAAAAUGCAAAGAAUAUUACACAAGUCUGACACUGCUUUUUGUUCACUAAAGGUAAGGCUGGAAUUUAGCCAGAGAAGCAGUCAAAAUGUCAAGAGGAACUCUAAAGGAGCUUGGAGAGAUCCAAAUUUCAAUCCCACUUUCAAUCCAACUUUAACCCAGAAACCUCUGAAAUCCCAUAUAGAGUUAACCAAAAGAGAUGUUGGAGACCUGUUGGUUCUUUGGCAGGAAAUACAACACUGAUAAUCAACCUAAGAACACAGUGAAACCCCACAAUGAAACAUGGUAGUGAUUGCAUCAUGCACUUAUCCUACACAGGAGAGGAUGGAGUCAAUCCCAGGGGACACUGGCCACGAGAUGGACCUGAGGGGACAUGAAUGUUUACUGGACUUCACUUUUAAUCACACUUUUAGCUUCCUGCUGUAACACACCUGACACAGCUAAUAAAGGGCAUGAUGAUCAGCUGAUGAGGAAGAUCAUAUAGUCUGUUAUAUCAAGCCCUGUGGUUGUGAAUACUAAUAAAUAUUACAGACAGUCUCGAUUCAAUCUCAUAAUGCAUCAUAUCGCAUAAAAUGUGAUCAUUUUAUAAGGAUUAAGGCACUUACCUUGUUUGUUAUAUACAGUACUUCAUUUAUUUCCAGGCCAGUUCUUGUUCAUUUAGUUUUGACAUUCUUUUUUUUCCAAGCCUAAAUGCUUUCUCUGUUUCUUUCCAAGUUAGGAAUUCCAGUACGGAAUUUUUCAUCAGAUUCUGUGUGCUAAUACUUCUUGAAAAGCAUAAUCUGCUAAAGGGAGCUGAAAGGAAACAGUGCUCAUACAUCUACCCUUAAAGCAUGAUGUUUUAA
Long non-coding RNA from Tachysurus fulvidraco (yellow catfish), 1106 nucleotides. RefSeq lists it as uncharacterized. NCBI's taxonomy places the organism in Eukaryota, Metazoa, Chordata, Actinopteri, Siluriformes, Bagridae. The record is from RefSeq and is a predicted model, not a curated record. The transcript has 3 exons.